GCCUUCGUGGUGUAGUGGUCAGCACGUUCGAUGCGUAACCGAGAGGUCCCUGGUUCGAUUCCCGGCGAAGGCA
Molecule: transfer RNA, 73 nt
Filed under: Stegodyphus mimosarum
Lineage: Eukaryota; Metazoa; Arthropoda; Arachnida; Araneae; Eresidae
Description: tRNA-Thr for anticodon CGU
Rfam family: tRNA
About the family: Transfer RNA (tRNA) molecules are approximately 80 nucleotides in length. Their secondary structure includes four short double-helical elements and three loops (D, anti-codon, and T loops).
Source: Rfam by way of RNAcentral